RNAcentral lists this ribosomal RNA (300 nucleotides) under uncultured Bacillus sp. RNAcentral describes it as "bacterial SSU rRNA". It matches the Rfam family "Bacterial small subunit ribosomal RNA", at positions 1082 to 1382 of the family's 1533-position model. The record is from RNAcentral. Lineage: Bacteria; Bacillati; Bacillota; Bacilli; Caryophanales; Bacillaceae.
AAGUCCGCAACGAGCGCAACCCCUACGUUUACGUUGCUAACGCGUGAAGGCGAGCACUCUAGACGAACUGCCGUUGACAAAACGGAGGAAGGUGGGGAUGACGUCAAAUCAUCAUGCCCUUAUGUUCUGGGCUACACACGUGCUACAAUGGCCGGUACAGACGGACGCAAAGCCGCGAGGUGGAGCAAAUCCUAAAAAGCCGGUCUCAGUUCGGAUUGCAGGCUGCAAUUCGCCUGCAUGAAGUCGGAAUCGCUAGUAAUCGCAGGUCAGCAUACUGCGGUGAAUACGUUCCCGGGCCUU